UAGGAAAAUGGUAAACGGGGUUGUUGCUGGCCCUCAAUGGGGGCACGUGCACGCUCUGUUUACACAUCCACUCACACCUGUGCACCCUCAGUAGUUCUGUGGUCUGGGGGACCCUGUCUCCCUUCCAUGGUCCUACGUCUUUACACACACACACUGUAACAAGUCCUAUGGAAUGUAUGUCGCGUCUAACGCAAUACAAUACAACUUUCAGCAACGGAUCUCUUGGCUCUCGCAUCGAUGAAGAACGCAGCGAAAUGCGAUAAGUAAUGUGAAUUGCAGAAUUCAGUGAAUCAUCGAAUCUUUGAACGCACCUUGCGCCCCUUGGCUAUUCCGAGGGGCAUGCCUGUUUGAGUAUCUUGAACACCUCAACUCUCAUGGUUUGCCAUGAUGAGCUUGGACCCUGGGGGUUUGCUGGCCUGUAGUCAGCUCCUCUCAAAUGAAUCAGCCUCCAAGUGUUUGGUGGCAUCACGGGUGUGAUAACUAUCUACGCUCGCUGUUGUCUGCCAGGUAACCUUUGGUGACAAAGGUUCACUGGAGCUCACAGAUGUCUCUCCUCAGCGAGGACAGCUUUUUGAACGUUCGAUCUCAAAUCAGGUAGGACUACCCGCUGAACUUAAGCAUAUCAAUAAGCGGAGGAAAAGAAACUAACAAGGAUUCCCCUAGUAACUGCGAGUGAAGCGGGAAGAGCUCAAAUUUAAAAUCUGGCGUGCCUCUGGUCGGCCCAGAAAUAAA
Molecule: unclassified non-coding RNA, 732 nt
Filed under: uncultured fungus
Lineage: Eukaryota; Fungi
Description: partial contains ITS1, 5.8S rRNA and ITS2
Rfam family: 5.8S ribosomal RNA (bases 203-357)
Source: RNAcentral